AGCAGCCGCGGUAAUUCCAGCUCCAAUAGCGUAUAUUAAAGUUGUUGCAGUUAAAAAGCUCGUAGUUGAAUUUCGGGAUUAGUACGUUGGUCGUGCCUUAGGUACGUACUGGUGUUACUGGUUCCUACCUUCUGACGAACCAUCAUGUCAUUAAUUUGGUGUGGCGGGGAAUCAGGACUGUUACUUUGAAAAAAAUUAGAGUGUUUAAAGCAGGCUCGCGCUUGAAUACAUUAGCAUGGAAUAAUGAAAUAGGACGUUGACCCUAUUUUGUUGGUUUCUAGGAUUGACGUAAUGAUUAAUAGGGAUAGUUGGGGGCAUUAGUAUUCAAUUGUCAGAGGUGAAAAUUCUUGGAUUUAUUGAAGACUAACUACUGCGAAAGCAUUUGCCAAGGAUGUUUUCAUUAAUCAAGAACGAAAGUUAGGGAUCGAAGACGAUCAGAUACCGUCGUAGUCUUAACCAUAAACUAUGCCGACUAGGGAUCGGAUGAUGUUAUUUUUAAUGUACUCAUUCGGCGCCUUAC
Molecule: ribosomal RNA, 520 nt
Filed under: uncultured Glomus
Lineage: Eukaryota; Fungi; Glomeromycota; Glomeromycetes; Glomerales; Glomeraceae
Description: SSU rRNA
Rfam family: Eukaryotic small subunit ribosomal RNA
Source: RNAcentral